CCAAUAGCGUAUAUUAAAGUUGUUGCAGUUAAAAAGCUCGUAGUUGAAUUUCGGGAUCAAUAUAUUGGUCAUGCUUAGGUAUGUACUGGUAUUAUUGAUUUCUCCCUUCUGAAGAACCAUGAUGUCAUUAAUUUGAUGUCGUGGGGAAUCAGGACUGUUACUUUGAAAAAAUUAGAGUGUUUAAAGCAGGCUUUCGCUUGAAUACAUUAGCAUGGAAUAAUGAAAUAGGACGUUUGAUUCUAUUUUGUUGGUUUCUAGGAUCGACGUAAUGAUUAAUAGGGAUAGUUGGGGGCAUUAGUAUUCAAUUGUCAGAGGUGAAAUUCUUGGAUUUAUUGAAGACUAACUACUGCGAAAGCAUUUGCCAAGGAUGUUUUCAUUAAUCAAGAACGAAAGUUAGGGGAUCGAAGACGAUCAGAUACCGUCGUAGUCUUAACCAUAAACUAUGCCGACUAGGGAUCGGAUGAUGUUAAUUUUUUAAUGACUCAUUCAGCGCCUUACG
Molecule: ribosomal RNA, 499 nt
Filed under: uncultured Glomeromycotina
Lineage: Eukaryota; Fungi; Glomeromycota
Description: partial small subunit ribosomal RNA
Rfam family: Eukaryotic small subunit ribosomal RNA
Source: RNAcentral